GUGCUGUAUGAGAGAAGGCAAGCACUCCCCUUGAGAAGGAUGGAAGAGGUCCUAGUGAGCUUUACAACAUGCAUAUGGUUAAAGCAUUGCCACUUACUUUGUGGCAUCUAUCCAAGGUGUGGG
This is a small nuclear RNA of Gopherus agassizii (Agassiz's desert tortoise), 123 nucleotides long. Lineage: Eukaryota; Metazoa; Chordata; Testudines; Testudinidae. The record is from Ensembl.